Molecule: small nuclear RNA, 161 nt
Filed under: Meriones unguiculatus (Mongolian gerbil)
Lineage: Eukaryota; Metazoa; Chordata; Mammalia; Rodentia; Muridae
Description: U1 spliceosomal RNA (ENSMUGG00000002170.1)
Rfam family: U1 spliceosomal RNA
About the family: U1 is a small nuclear RNA (snRNA) component of the spliceosome (involved in pre-mRNA splicing).
Source: RNAcentral
AUACUUACCUGACAGAAAGAUUUCAAAUAUUAUCAAGGUGAUUUUCCUAGGGUAAACUUCUUCAUUGCACUCAGGAUAUACUAACCCCUGCAAUUCCCCCAGUUGCAGGAAACUAAACUACAUGAUGUGUGGUAUUGGAGAGCUGCAUUCAUGGUCUCCAC